Molecule: ribosomal RNA, 489 nt
Filed under: uncultured bacterium
Lineage: Bacteria
Description: partial 16S ribosomal RNA
Rfam family: Bacterial small subunit ribosomal RNA
Source: RNAcentral
GAUGAACGCUAGCUACAGGCUUAACACAUGCAGGUCGCGGGGCAGCAUGGGGGUUGCUUGCAAUCCCCGAUGGCGACCGGCGCACGGGUGAGUAACGCGUAUUCAACCUGCCCUUCACCACGGGAUAACCCGGCGAAAGUCGGACUAAUACCGUAUGUUGUCCAUUGACGGCAUCCGAUUUGGACGAAAGGCUUGGCGGUGAGGGAUGGGGAUGCGUCCGAUUAGCCAGACGGCGGGGUAACGGCCCACCGUGGCUACGAUCGGUAGGGGUUCUGAGAGGAAGGUCCCCACACUGGAACUGAGACACGGUCCAGACUCCUACGGGAGGCAGCAGUGAGGAAUAUUGGUCAAUGGGCGUAAGCCUGAACCAGCCAAGUAGCGUGCAGGAUGACGGCCCUAUGGGUUGUAAACUGCUUUUAUGCGGGGAUAAAGUGGCCCACGUGUGGGCUUUUGCAGGUACCGCAUGAAUAAGGACCGGCUAAUUCCGUG